AUGUCGGAAGAAAUUUUGUUCAUCCGCAAGUGGAAAUACUAAUAAACUCACUUGCAAAGUGCUUCAGGGCGAAAGAGUAAUUUAAUAGUUAUGCUGGAUGAUGGUGACGUGUUUGAAUUUGUUUCAAAACGUAGUGUCU
Caenorhabditis elegans is the source of this 139-nucleotide non-coding RNA. Lineage: Eukaryota; Metazoa; Nematoda; Chromadorea; Rhabditida; Rhabditidae. The record is from Ensembl.